This 492-nucleotide ribosomal RNA is filed under the name uncultured bacterium. RNAcentral's name for it is "partial 16S ribosomal RNA". It matches the Rfam family "Bacterial small subunit ribosomal RNA", at positions 29 to 507 of the family's 1533-position model. The record is from RNAcentral.
AGUGAACGCUGGCGGUAGGCCUGACACAUGCAAGUCGAACGGCAGCACAGUAAGAGCUUGCUCUUACGGGUGCCGAGUGGCGGACGGUUGAUGAAUACAUCGGAAUCUACUUUUUCGAGGGGGCUAACGUAGGGACACUUACGCUAAUCCCGCAUACGACCUACGGGUGAAAGCAGGGGAUCUUCGGACAUUGCGUGAUUGAAUGAGCCGAUGUCGGAUUAGCUAGUUGGCGGGGUAAAGGCCCACCAAGGCGACGAUCCGUAGCUGGUCUGAGAGGAUGAUCAGCCACACUGGAACUGAGACACGGUCCAGACUCCUACGGGAGGCAGCAGUGGGGAAUAUUGGACAAUGGGCGCAAGCCUGAUCCAGCCAUACCGCGUGGGUGAAGAAGGCCUUCGGGUUGUAAAGCCCUUUUGGUGGGAAAGAAAAGCAGCAGGUUAAUACCCCGCUGUUCUGACGGUACCCAAAGAAUAAGCACCGGCUAACUUCGUG